RNAcentral lists this long non-coding RNA (1072 nucleotides) under Sus scrofa (pig). RNAcentral describes it as "lncRNA (ENSSSCG00025073404.1, ENSSSCG00035026486.1, ENSSSCG00055007383.1, ENSSSCG00065031408.1)". The record is from RNAcentral. Lineage: Eukaryota; Metazoa; Chordata; Mammalia; Artiodactyla; Suidae.
ACAAACACGCCGGCAGUGUCCCUACCUAGACAGAUGCGAACACAAAAGAGACUUUUCAGCUAAUAAGAUCCUCUGGUGUUUGCAGCUCUAAGCAGAGUCGGUAAUGAUAAAACACCCUAUUGCCAGUCAUGGAAAGAACUGAGAAUGUAGAACCAGAAGAACUAAAGUACCUGGAGGAGCCAAGGAACAAGAGAUCCAGACGGCUGGGCACAUGGCCCCUCAGAAUCACUCUGUUCUUCUCAUUGACCCCCCGCCCCCAGCAGAACUGGGUAUCUUGAAGGUCUUGGAAGGAGCAGAUAGAUAACAAUUUUAGCCACUUGCUGCCUGACCAUGAAUUUUCUACAGAGACAAUGGAUGAUCAUAGUGCAUCUGGCCCAAAGAGCCCGUGGUGGUAUAAUGCGUUAACACCAGAGUCAUGUGAGAGAAGAUAAAAUCAUCCUGGCAGGCAGGACGGGUUGGGAAGGGCUGGAGAGCAGGCAAGAGCAUGCUGUGUUGGCGCUGCAGUUGCCCGGAAUGGUGCUUCUCUGUGGCCCAGUGGCUCUAACGUAUCGGGAAGCUGGAAAGCUGGAAACACCAGUGCUGACGUCUUUCCUGAGCCAGAGCACGCCGGCAGCUGAGAAACCACACUCCUCUCAUCUUUUCAGCCAGACCAUGCUUUGGUCCAUUCUGUCACUCCCACCUCCCGCUUGGACACCCCGAGUCCCUCUGCCACCUGCCACUCUGCAAGACAAGUCCAGCUGCCCUGAUGGGGGAAACGGAUGGGGAAGGCUGAGCUCCCCCAGGCCGGAAAAAAGUAGCAGAACCGAUGCAUUCCCCGGGGAUGAACAGAAUUAACUGCUGGGAAGGGAAAGAGACCUGACUUGCAUCGUGGCACUGAAGGGUUUAUGAAGGGUCGUCAUUGAUCGCUGCUGUUGUGCUUCGUAGUUUGGGGACACUUUAUAAAAGCUAUGGAGACCACAUAGGAAAUAGGGCUGAAAAUGUCUGUCUGAUGGAAUUGGUCUGAAGGUUCAAUGAGAAAAUGUGAGAAAGUCAUACUCCAUAGUACUUGGUAUUUAAUAAAUGCUUAAUUCAU